AACGAACGCUGGCGGCAUGCCUAACACAUGCAAGUCGAACGAGACCUUCGGGUCUAGUGGCGCACGGGUGCGUAACGCGUGGGAACCUGCCCUUAGGUUCGGAAUAACUCCCCGAAAGGGGUGCUAAUACCGGAUAAUGUCUUCGGACCAAAGAUUUAUCGACUUUGGAUGGGCCCGCGUUGGAUUAGCUUGUUGGUAGUGUAAAAGCCUACCAAGGCGACGAUCCAUAGCUGGGCUGAGAGGAUGAUCAGCCACACUGGGACUGAGACACGGCCCAGACUCCUACGGGAGGCAGCAGUGGGGAAUAUUGGACAAUGGGCGAAAGCCUGAUCCAGCAAUGCCGCGUGAGUGAUGAAGGCCUUAGGGUUGUAAAGCUCUUUUACCCGGGAUGAUAAUGACAGUACCGGGAGAAUAAGCUCCGGCUAACUUCGUG
This 433-nucleotide ribosomal RNA is filed under the name uncultured bacterium. Its description in RNAcentral is "partial 16S ribosomal RNA". It matches the Rfam family "Bacterial small subunit ribosomal RNA", at positions 29 to 507 of the family's 1533-position model. The record is from RNAcentral.